This 495-nucleotide ribosomal RNA is filed under the name uncultured bacterium. RNAcentral's name for it is "partial 16S ribosomal RNA". It matches the Rfam family "Bacterial small subunit ribosomal RNA", at positions 29 to 523 of the family's 1533-position model. The record is from RNAcentral.
AACGAACGCUGGCGGCGUGCCUAAUACAUGCAAGUCGAACGAGAAAGUACUUCGGUACGAGUAGAGUGGCGCACGGGUGAGUAACACGUAGAUAUCUGCCUUUUAGUGGGGAAUAACACAGUGAAAAUUGUGCUAAUGCCGCAUGUGAAAGUGAUUUCAAAGGGGGGUAGCAAUACCUCUUGCUAAAAGAUGAGUCUGCGCAACAUUAGGUAGUUGGUGGGGUAAUGGCCUACCAAGCCAGCGAUGUUUAUCCGGUCUGAGAGGAUGAUCGGACACACUGGAACUGAGACACGGUCCAGACUCCUACGGGAGGCAGCAGUAGGGAAUAUUGCGCAAUGGGGGAAACCCUGACGCAGCAACGCCGCGUGAGUGAGGAAGGCCUUCGGGUCGUAAAGCUCUGUUCUUAGGGAAAAAUGGUUAUGGAGCUAAUACCCCAUGGCUUGAUGGUACCUAAGGAGAAAAGACCGGCUAACUUCGUGCCAGCAGCCGCCGUAA